Molecule: ribosomal RNA, 248 nt
Filed under: uncultured Lactobacillus sp.
Lineage: Bacteria; Bacillati; Bacillota; Bacilli; Lactobacillales; Lactobacillaceae
Description: partial 16S ribosomal RNA
Rfam family: Bacterial small subunit ribosomal RNA
Source: RNAcentral
CACGUGGGUAACCUGCCCAAGAGAUCGGGAUAACACCUGGAAACAGAUGCUAAUACCGGAUAACAACAGAUGAUGCCUAUCAACUGUUUAAAAGAUGGUUCUGCUAUCACUCUUGGAUGGACCUGCGGUGCAUUAGCUAGUUGGUAGGGUAACGGCCUACCAAGGCGAUUAUGCAUAGCCGAGUUGAGAGACUUAUCGGCCACAUUGGGACUGAGACACGGCCCAAACUCCUACGGGAGGCAGCAGGA